UCAAACAUUCACUUCCUGAUUAGAGAACUGUGUGAGAUAAACUCGCAAGGUCCACUGCAAGGUCGCAUUCAGAUUCACCCUACAUUUUUUUUCGUUAAUCCGUUUCCCUCAGAUGUACAUCGCAAUACGAAAAACAAGAUUUGUCGCUACUACGGUUACAUUGCAAUUUUAAUUCAAUUUGAAAAGGAGUCUGAAAGUCAGAAUUGCGAGAUGUAAAGUCAGAAUUGCAAAAAAGUCAGAUAUGUGAGACGUAAAGUCAGAAUUGCAGAAAAAGUCAGAAUUGCAGAAAAAGUCAGAAUUGCUAAAAAAAGUCAAAAAUGCGAGAUGUAAGGUCAGAAUUGCUAAAAAAGUCAGAAAUGCGAGAUAUAAAGUCAGAAUUGCAAAAAAGUCAGAUAUGUGAGAUGUAAAGUCAGAAUUCCGAGACGUAAAGUCAGAAUUGCAGAAAAAGUCAGAAUUGCAAAACAAGUCAGAAAUGCGAGAUGUAAUGUCAGAAUUGCUAAAAAAGUAAAAAUGCGAGAUGUAAAGUCAGAAUUGCAGAAAAAGUCAGAAUUGCAGAAAAAGUCAGAAAUGCGAGACGCAAAGUCAGAAUUGCAGAAAAAGUCAGAAUUGCUAAAAAAAGUCAAAAAUGCGAGAUGUAAGGUCAGAAUUGCUAAAAAAGUCAGAAAUGCGAGAUAUAAAGUCAGAAUUGCAAAAAAGUCAGAUAUGUGAGAUGUAAAGUCAGAAUUCCGAGACGUAAAGUCAGAAUUGCAGAAAAAGUCAGAAUUGCAAAACAAGUCAGAAUUGCAAAAGUCAGAUAUGUGAGAUGUAAGGUCAGAGUUGCAGAAAAAGUCAAUUGCAUUAAAAAGUCAGAAAUGCGAGAUGUAACGUCAGAAUUGCUAAAAAAAAGUCAGAAAUGCGAGAUGUAACGUCAGAAUUGCAAAAAAAGUCAGAUAUGUGAGAUGUAAGGUCAGAAUUGCUAAAAGUCAGAAAUGCGAGAUGUAAAGUCAGAGUUGCAGAAAAAAGUCAGAAUUGCAAAAGUCAGAUAUGCGAGACGUAAAGUCAGAAUUGCUAAAAAAUGCGAGAUGUAAGGUCAGAAUUGCAGAAAAAGUCAGAAAUGCAAGAUGUAAAGUCAGAAUUCCGAGACGUAAAGUCAGAAUUGCAGAAAAAGUCAGAAUUGCAAAACAAGUCAGAAUUGCAAAAGUCAGAUAUGUGAGAUGUAACGUCAGAAUUGCUAAAAAAGUCAGAAAUGCGAGAUGUAACGUCAGAAUUGCUAAAAAAAAGUCAGAAAUGCGAGAUGUAACGUCAGAAUUGCAAAAAAAGUCAGAUAUGUGAGAUGUAAGGUCAGAAUUGCUAAAAGUCAGAAAUGCGAGAUGUAAAGUCAGAAUUGCAAAAAAGUCAGAAUUGUGAGACGUAAAGUCAGAGUUGCAGAAAAAAGUCAGAAUUGCAAAAAAAGUCAUAAAUGCGAGAUGUAAGGUCAGAAUUGCAGAAAAAAGUCAGAAUUGCAAAACAAGUCAGAAAUGCGAGAUGUAAAGUCAGAAUUGCAAAAAAGUCAGAAUUGCUAAAAAAAAGUCAGAUAUGCGAGACGUAAAGUCAGAAUUGCAGAAAAAAGUCAGAAUUGCUAAAAAAGUCAGAAAUGCGAGAUGUAAAGUCAGAAUUGCAAAAAAGUCAGAAAUGCGAGACGUAAAGUCAGAGUUGCAGAAAAAAGUCAGAAUUGCAAAACAAGUCAGAAAUGCGAGAUGUAACGUCAGAAUUGCAAAAAAGUCAGAAUUCCGAGACGUAAAGUCAGAAUUGCAAAAAAGUCAGUUGCAUUAAAAAGUCAGAAAUGC
Onychostoma macrolepis is the source of this 1805-nucleotide long non-coding RNA. RefSeq lists it as uncharacterized. The transcript has 2 exons. Lineage: Eukaryota; Metazoa; Chordata; Actinopteri; Cypriniformes; Cyprinidae. The record is from RefSeq and is a predicted model, not a curated record.